GCGGCGGACGGGUGAGUAAUGUCUGGGAAACUGCCUGAUGGAGGGGGAUAACUACUGGAAACGGUAGCUAAUACCACAUAACGUCGCAAGACCAAAGAGGGGGACCUUCGGGCCUCUUGCCAUCAGAUGUGCCCAGAUGGGAUUAGCUAGUAGGUGGGGUAAUGGCUCACCUAGGCGACGAUCCCUAGCUGGUCUGAGAGGAUGACCAGCCACACUGGAACUGAGACACGGUCCAGACUCCUACGGGAGGCAGCAGUGGGGAAUAUUGCACAAUGGGCGCAAGCCUGAUGCAGCCAUGCCGCGUGUGUGAAGAAGGCCUUCGGGUUGUAAAGCACUUUCAGCGAGGAGGAAGGUGGUGAACUUAAUACGUUCAUCAAUUGACGUUACUCGCAGAAGAAGCACCGGCUAACUCCGUGCCAGCAGCCGCGGUAAUACGGAGGGUGCAAGCGUUAAUCGGAAUUACUGGGCGUAAAGCGCACGCAGGCGGUUUGUUAAGUCAGAUGUGAAAUCCCCGGGCUCAACCUGGGAACUGCAUUUGAAACUGGCAAGCUAGAGUCUCGUAGAGGGGGGUAGAAUUCCAGGUGUAGCGGUGAAAUGCGUAGAGAUCUGGAGGAAUACCGGUGGCGAAGGCGGCCCCCUGGACGAAGACUGACGCUCAGGUGCG
RNAcentral lists this ribosomal RNA (664 nucleotides) under uncultured Serratia sp. RNAcentral describes it as "bacterial SSU rRNA". It matches the Rfam family "Bacterial small subunit ribosomal RNA", at positions 95 to 755 of the family's 1533-position model. The record is from RNAcentral. Lineage: Bacteria; Pseudomonadati; Pseudomonadota; Gammaproteobacteria; Enterobacterales; Yersiniaceae.